AAAGGGUAGAGGGCAGCAACCGACUUGUGCGAAAGGAGGGAACGUGUGGGUCUGCCAGGGUCCUGCAGGGGGGAUGAGACCCUCGCUCCGCUCCGGCGAUCCCUUCGCUCUCCACCCUCGGCCAGCCCCUCCUGUCCUCCAUCAGGCCUCGCUGAGGAUACCUCCUGGGUUCCAAAGCGCGAGUUGAACCUGAGCUUGACAUUCAUUCCGUCUCGUACAAAAGCCAUGCCUGCGGGGAGAGGGAGAAAAUUUCCUACAGGAGCCUCAAGACUGCGUUUCAGGAAGCCCUAGGACCCACUGAUCCUGCAGCUGCGCCUCUCACUCGCCUCAGGGGAUAAACUCAAGGAAGAAAUGGACAUAGCUGUUGAGAAGAGAUGGGGAUUUUCUCAUAAGCCAUGCUACUUUUUUGACCUUAGAACCCACCACGAUGAAUCUCUGAGUCGGUCUCAUCUCCCAGAUCCUCAACUCAACUUUUCUCAGACUGUACUUAAGCACUUUUGUCAAAGUUGGAGUAGAGAAGGUAGGGUGAUAAGAAAGAGCUCCUUUUGCUCUUUUCCACAUGGAUUGUCUCCCUUUUGAUGGCCUCACAAGUCCCCAGAUUUUCCUUUUGACAUUGUUUCAUACAGUAUUUAAAUCUAUUUGUAUACAUGAAACUUAUUUUAAUGCCUGUCUUUCUGAAUCCCUGACUCCAUCCCUAUGUCUCUGGUAUGUUUCUAUCUGUGAUUAUCGACUCCAUAUUAAAAAUGGGACUGCUUGCACUUAUUGCAGUACAUGUGUCAAACUGAUCCCUCAAAACUUCCUGACAAAAAAUAGACCAUUCUAGUUCUUCACUACCUGUUUCUUGAUAGACAGAUCAAAAAAGUCCCUCCAUCCUAAGGGUUUCUCUCUCAUGGCAAAACCUUUGGUGAGAGACACACAUCAAUGUCUGUCAAUGAAACCACUGGAAUAUUGUCCCAAUGUGAAUAUAUUUCCAAUUCAAUCUAUUCUAUUGUCCACAGUAGGCAACCAGAAUUCCCAAGGAACUGUAGAAGGGGUGCCUUUUUUUUUAAGGGAUAAGAAGUAUAUAGACUUGAAUAUCAGGCACAAUUGUGACAGUGAGAAAGUCAUGUAAUUACUUGGAAAUAAGAGGCUAAAGUUUCAGGGUUAAACCAAAAUUGGGAAUGAGACAGCCAUGUUGGAGGGGGUCCCCAGAGAAACUCCAACCAGCCUACCCACUGAGGUGGAGCCUUGGGAAGUUCAUGACAUUUGUAGCAGGGAGGAGCCUGGCCCCUCCUCUUCCUGUGUGGAAUCUGGCAUUCAAGCUACAGGCUGGAAGCACUGUAGCAGGGACGCUGGCCUAGUGAGAGUCCCUGUUUCCCCCUUUUCUUCAUUUUCACCCAAUAAAAUCCUGUCUCACUCACCAUUCAAAUUGUCUGCAAGCCUGAGUUUUCAUGGCUGUGGGACAAAGAACUCUGCCCUUAGCUGAACUAAGGAAAAGUCCUGCAACAUUUUUGGCACCCAACAUGGGGCUCAAGAAGCAGUGAGUGAAAUGAGGACUCAGAACCUCUCACCUUCUGAGGACUUCUGAGGGUUGGGAAUACAUACCCCCAAACCCUGUGGCUCCCUGGGGUUGGGGGAAAGGCCCUUUCCUUCCUUUUUCAGGACAGGGGAGCAGGGGCUCCUUGCUCCCCCUCCCCUCCAUGCUGGGGCUGGGACACAUGGCUCAAGAGUCUCACACAGCCGGGUGGCUGGUUCCCAUCCAGAAGCCACUGCAGCCUUUCCCUUCCCCACCCAAGGGGUUCAGCUCCAUCAGGCAGUAAUUAAACUUUUCUCUCUGGUGGAAGAACCACUUGCCUAAGAAUAAGAGGAUCUCCCCCAGGCAUUUGAAAACUUUCUCUUUUUUCCUCUUCUCCACCCUGUCAGCAAGUUAACUUUUAUAGUUUUUUGUUUUUCCUUUUAGAAGAUGUUUUACUAGGCCAGCCCUGCACCUCCCCCCAAUCCACCCACCAACUAUGACUGUAUUCUUUGCAAAGUUGUGGUUGUGAAAUCAAGCCUCCAUCUUGUUUUACAUCUGGGGGGUGUGGCCAGUUACUGCCUGGCAAGGAUUUGUUUAGCAACCCUACCUUAGGGGAUGCCCCUCUCAGGUUAAGUAAUCUACAUGUUUUCCUAGCCCUGUCUCUUAAAAGGCCCUACCCAGCAACUGGGUUUUCUUCUGCCUGUCUGUGUGUACUAUAUGUGAUGUCUGUAAAAAUAACUCUAAUUAAUCUGGCCUAAAGAAAAGUGCUUGGAUCUAACAUUUUUUAAAGCUAAAAGCUGUGGUACCUUUCAUUUCACAUGACUUUAAUCUUUAAGAAAUAAAAACAGCCCUAAAGACUAUUCGUAAAAUGCAGGUCAGAUGCAAAGUUUGCUAAUUGUUUUGAGGUUACAAACUGCUUUUUGGGUUUUGAGAGCUAUUUUACUUGUCAGCUACAUCAUUGGUAGGGUCUGGGGACAUAUGGAACUAACCACACCCUUAAUUAUGCUGGAGUCAAAUCUUGGCUGCACUUAUCACACAAUUAAGGCAACUUACCAAGUUUUACCAAAUUGCUAGAAGUUAAUUGAAACUACUAGAAAUAGAUUUACAUGCAAGGUGUGUAAGAACAGUAAAAUGUGUUUUUUUAGUAAAAGGUUAUAAGAAGGCAUGGAAAUGUAAACUUUUGCCUAGAGUUAAAUGAUUGUUUUGAGUUAAAUUAGGAAAAAGCUAAAGGUUCAAAGAAGUGGUGGAAGAAUUGUGGAAAUUAAUCUUGCAGAAGAAGGUCUCUAUGUAAAUAUUUUUGCUAAAUUCAAAAGGGUAUUAAAUGUUUUUUUCUGUAAAUCGAGCAUUGAAAUAAAAACACAACAAGAAAUUCUUAAAAUGCUAAUCUCUUUGGCAAAAUUUAUAAAGGUUUAUAAAAGGUUUUUGGUUCUUUAAAAUUUCUGAGUCAUCAUUUUGGCAAAAUAAAUAACUUACAGUAAUCAGGAAUUCUAUUUCAUAAUAUCAAGUGUUUUAAACCUUGAACAUUUAACAGCCUUCCCAAAAUCAAACUUCAGUUUUAAAAUUGUCUUCCUCGACACCUGGGUUUGUGGAAAGUCCAGAGGGCCCCUGGAAUGUCCAGAGAAAAAGAGGUAAACAGAAUUAUUUAACAUAUUUAGGUACAUGGGAUUGACAAAAUGAUCUUCUUUAGGUUAAGUUAUAUCUUGGUGAAGAAUGCCAAUAUAUGUUCCAAAAUUGUAUGGAGUUUCUAAAAUUCUAAUAUCUGAGUAUAGCUAUCAAUCAUAAUUAAGGUUUUUUGUUAAGUUAUUGUAAAUCACAGAGCUAAUCAAACUUCUCUGUCAAUCAUGUUUCUAACUGUAACUACCCUGGAUAUUUUGCUAUUCAAAAAUUGUUGUUUUAUUUUAAUCCUUUUCAAAAGAUGGUUUAUAAUAAGCUAUAGAACUGUAACAGGUGCUCUCAAAUACAGGUUUCUGAUAACUUUGGAGACUGUGAAAUUGGAAUAAAGAAAAAUAUAUAGGACUCAUAAAGAGCUGAAAUAUUAAUGAAUACAAGCAAAACAAAAACUAAAUGGACUAAACUUAGAAACUGAAGCAAUCCUUUUAACCUUGUUUGGAAUAUUGCUGAUCCUUGUUUUGUUUUUCAGAGUAAAGGAAACUUAUUUUGAACUAUUUUCAGACUUUAAUAAUUAAGUAAGGUAUACACUCCUGUGAUUAAAAUUUAGAACAUGUUUGUUUCUCUCUGCCUGGUUCCUCUAGAAUUUGGAGAAUAUCUGUGAGUAUUCUUAACUUAUGGCAAUGUAGUUGUUUGCAUCAAUGCAAUAAAAAUCCAUUUUUCUUUUGCAA
This is a long non-coding RNA of Homo sapiens (human), 3834 nucleotides long. Ensembl annotates it as long intergenic non-protein coding RNA 506. Lineage: Eukaryota; Metazoa; Chordata; Mammalia; Primates; Hominidae. The record is from Ensembl.